AGUGUCAUUGUAAUCUCACACUCUCUGAUGCUUGCAUUAGGAGUGGUGGACUUGGGUGUUGCCGCUUCACGGUGGCUCACCUCAAAUGCAGUAGUGCACCUCCUGGUUGGACAUAGUACGGCGUGAUAAGUGUCUUCGCCGGCGCCUCGAAAGAGGGUGGCCGAUUGGGAGCUCUGGGCUUCUAACUGUCUUAGGACACUCUCUGACAACUUGACCUCAAAUCGAGUAGGACUACCCGCUGAACUUAAGCAUAUCAAUAAGCGGAGGAAAAGAAACUAACAAGGAUUCCCCUAGUAACGGCGAGUGAAGAGGGAAGAGCUCAAAUUUUGAAUCUGGCGUCUUUGGCGUCCGAAUUGUAAUCUAGAGAAGUGUUUUCCGCAAUGGACCGUGCACAAGUCUCCUGGAAUGGAGCGUCAUAGAGGGUGAGAAUCCCGUAUAUGGCACGGACUGCCGUUGCUCUGCGAUACACUCUCAACGAGUCGAGUUGUUUGGGAAUGCAGCUCCAAAUGGGUGGUAAAUGCCAUCUAAAGCUAAAUAUUGGCGAGAGACCGAUAGCGAACAAGUACCGUGAGGGAAAGAUGAAAAGCACUUUGGAAAGAGAGUGAAACAGUACGUGAAAUUGUUGAAAGGGAAACACUUGAAGUCAGUCGCGCCGUUCGGGACUCAGCCUUGCUUCUGCUUGGUUUACUUCCCGUUGGGUGGGUCAACAUCAGUUUUGGUCGGAGGAGAAAGGCCUGUGGAAGGUAGCAGCUUUGCUGUGUUAUAGCCACCUGUUGUAUACUUCGACUGGGACUGAGGAUCGCAGCACGCCUUUGGCCGGGGCUUUGCCCACGUACGUGCUUAGGAUGUUGGCAUAAUGGCUUUAAGUGACCCGUCUUGAAACACGGA
Molecule: ribosomal RNA, 888 nt
Filed under: uncultured Sebacinaceae
Lineage: Eukaryota; Fungi; Basidiomycota; Agaricomycetes; Sebacinales; Sebacinaceae
Description: eukaryotic LSU rRNA
Rfam family: Eukaryotic large subunit ribosomal RNA (bases 212-888)
Source: RNAcentral